ACCCUUUAAUGUUUGAUGUUCUAACGUGGACCCGUGAUCCGGGUUGCGGACAGUGUCUGGUGGGUAGUUUGACUGGGGCGGUCUCCUCCUAAAGAGUAACGGAGGAGCACGAAGGUUGGCUAAUCCUGGUCGGACAUCAGGAGGUUAGUGCAAUGGCAUAAGCCAGCUUGACUGCGAGCGUGACGGCGCGAGCAGGUGCGAAAGCAGGUCAUAGUGAUCCGGUGGUUCUGAAUGGAAGGGCCAUCGCUCAACGGAUAAAAGGUACUCCGGGGAUAACAGGCUGAUACCGCCCAAGAGUUCAUAUCGACGGCGGUGUUUGGCACCUCGAUGUCGGCUCAUCACAUCCUGGGGCUGAAGUAGGUCCCAAGGGUAUGGCUGUUCGCCAUUUAAAGUGGUACGCGAGCUGGGUUUAGAACGUCGUGAGACAGUUCGGUCCCUAUCUGCCGUGGGCGCUGGAGAACUGAGGGGGGCUGCUCCUAGUACGAGAGGACCGGAGUGGACGCAUCACUGGUGUUCGGGU
This 520-nucleotide ribosomal RNA is filed under the name Salmonella enterica. Its description in RNAcentral is "partial 23S ribosomal RNA". It matches the Rfam family "Bacterial large subunit ribosomal RNA", at positions 2202 to 2721 of the family's 2925-position model. The record is from RNAcentral. Lineage: Bacteria; Pseudomonadati; Pseudomonadota; Gammaproteobacteria; Enterobacterales; Enterobacteriaceae.